AACCCUCGUCCUUAGUUGUCCAUCAUUAAGUUUGGGUCGACUUUUAAGGAAACUAGCCGGUGAGUAAGCCGGAGGAAGGUGGGGAUGACGUCAAGUCCUCAUGGCCCUUACAGGCUGGGCUACACACGUGCUACAAUGGCAUCUACAGUGGGCAGCUAUUCCGCAAGGAUGCGCUAAUCUCCAAAAGAUGUCUCAGUUCGGAUUGUCCUCUGCAACUCGAGGGCAUGAAGGCGGAAUCGCUAGUAAUCGCGGAUCAGCAUGCCGCGGUGAAUACGUUCCCAGGCCUU
Molecule: ribosomal RNA, 287 nt
Filed under: uncultured Porphyrobacter sp.
Lineage: Bacteria; Pseudomonadati; Pseudomonadota; Alphaproteobacteria; Sphingomonadales; Erythrobacteraceae
Description: partial 16S ribosomal RNA
Rfam family: Bacterial small subunit ribosomal RNA
Source: RNAcentral